RNAcentral lists this long non-coding RNA (871 nucleotides) under Homo sapiens (human). RNAcentral describes it as "HSALNT0067489". Lineage: Eukaryota; Metazoa; Chordata; Mammalia; Primates; Hominidae. The record is from RNAcentral.
UCUUUGUGCUCCUUUCCCCUGCUGCCCUUCCAGAUGCGCUCUUUCCAGAAAGGCAGCACACGCAUGUCUCUGCCGUGGCCCCAGAUCCUCCCCGCGCCGCCGUUUUGAGCGUUCACACUCAUUACCCAGGCACCGCCCGGACGGUGGCAUCCUUGAAAAGCAGGUCUUGGCCAUGAUAGUUGGAGGAGUCGAACAUUUUGAACCCGUUCUUAUUGUGGUCGUCUCCAAACAGGUCCUGGAAGCACCGCAGGCAGACGACCUGCUCCUCACUGGGCUCAGGCAGGGUCACCCGCCCAGUGCCGCUAGCUGCAAAUUGCUUUACAUACAGUGACCCAAAGAGCAAGUCAUUUCAGGGCCCCACCACUCUGAUUGGAAGUCAUAAGCUUGACAACUGAUUGGCCUCUGUCACCCAAGCGGGUGUGGGGACACUAGGCCCGCAGGUGCCACUGGAAGAGGCGUUCAGAAGCACUGCGGUGCUCCAGCUCCUGGAUGCAGGUCUGAGGCCUGAGAUGUCCAGGAAGAAAGACCCAGAAAUGAGGGAUGGUGUGGGUGGGAUUCCUGAGCGUUCUGCUAGGCCUGCUGAGCACUUCUUGGCCUUUUCCAUAAGGCUUUCUCACUCUGUCUUACAGAUAUCUCCCCACAAACCUAAACAAUUUCGAGAGGGACUUGUGUUCUGCAACCAGUCACAGAAUAUCAGGUGAGCUGGGCGUGUCUUCACUGACCCACCCGCCCAGGGAUGCUGCACUCCUCUCCACCCUGCUCAGAAUCACUAGAAUGACCGUUCUGUGGCUACAGCCCUAAAAGAGCUACUAAAAAGACCAGAAGUAGUAUGAGAACUUAUGAAUACGAAUAUAAAUAAAGGACAUCUGGA